UCCAACUUACAUUUUGUAUUGCAAACUCAGUUUUUAAAGUUAAUUCAACAAUUUAACAUUAAAAAAGUUGAGAUAACACAGAAAUGUAAGUUGAAUAGAAAUUAAGAUCAAUUUGUUACACCAAAUUAAUAUUUCAAGUUAGAACAACUAACAACUUUAAGUUGGUUAUUAGUUUUGCCAACAAAGGCUGAUGAGCAUGCGCAGUUCGAAUGCUUUAUUAUAAACAACGCCAUUUUAUUUUCUCCUGUUUCAUUUUCGAGUCCCCUUAAGCGGCUUCUGUUUAUUCCCUCAUUGUGAUCGCUCUGGUGGCAGCAAGUUAGUCAGUUAAAUUUUCCCGCCUGAUCUUAUUGUUGCCUCAGGUCAGACGUUGCCUAUUUUUUCUGCCUGACAGUGUAAGUUAAUCUCUCCGGUAGGUGCUGUUCUCUAUAUUAUAUUUACCAUAAGAGUUGAAAUAUGUUUGUUCAAAAUAUGUGCUUUUGUACGCCGUUUUAGAGUUGCCUCAGGCUGCGCCCUGUUAACGUUGGUCCGUCAUUGUUAUCACUCCGGUGGCGGCAAGCUAGUCAUUUCAGUUUUCCUGCUUCGUCUUCGAGUUGCCUGAGAAGGGUCAGACGAGAGCGACUUUUUUUUUUCUCGACAGUGCAAUCGCUCUGGCAGGUGAGAAUAAUUAACAAUAAGGUCUGAAUGGUAUUUGUUCACAAUAUGUGCUUCUGUACAGCUGCUUAGGUGGCUCCAAACUGGUCAGUUCAGUUUUCCUGCUUCAUCUUCGAGUUGCAUGAGAAGGGUCAGACGAGCGCGAGGUUUUUUUUUUCUCGACAGUGCAAUCGCUCUGGCAGCUGCUUAGGUGGCUCCAAACUCGUCAGUUCAACCUCUCCUGCUUCGUCUUCGAGAAGUCUUUAAAUCAUUCGGUGGCUUUUUUUCCCGACAGUAUCAUGAUGACUUAGGUAAGUACUGUUUUAUAUAUAUUAAGUAAAGGGAUUUAAUUAUUGUUAAGGAUAUAGAGUUUUAUUUAUUUGUAUAUAAUAUGUUCAUUUUGUACAGUUG
Carassius auratus (goldfish) is the source of this 1041-nucleotide long non-coding RNA. RefSeq lists it as uncharacterized. The transcript is spliced from 4 exons. The record is from RefSeq and is a predicted model, not a curated record. Lineage: Eukaryota; Metazoa; Chordata; Actinopteri; Cypriniformes; Cyprinidae.